This 485-nucleotide ribosomal RNA is filed under the name Peptostreptococcaceae bacterium canine oral taxon 047. RNAcentral describes it as "bacterial SSU rRNA". It matches the Rfam family "Bacterial small subunit ribosomal RNA", at positions 9 to 494 of the family's 1533-position model. Lineage: Bacteria; Bacillati; Bacillota; Clostridia; Peptostreptococcales; Peptostreptococcaceae. The record is from RNAcentral.
GAGUUUGAUUCUGGCUCAGGAUGAACGCUGGCGGCGUGCCUAACACAUGCAAGUCGAACGAAGAAUUUUUUGGAAGUUUUCGGAUGGAAGAAAAAUUACUUAGUGGCGGGCGGGUGAGUAACGCGUAAGUAAUCAACCUACAACACACGAAUAACUAAGAGAAAUCUUAGCUAAUACGAGAUGAAGUAAGUAUAUCGGGAGAUAUAAAUAUGAAAGCUGAGGCGGUUGUAGACGAGCUUGCGUCUGAUUAGCUAGUUGGCAGGGUAAGAGCCUACCAAGGCGACGAUCAGUAGCCGGCCUGAGAGGGUGAACGGCCACAUUGGAACUGAGAGACGGUCCAAACUCCUACGGGAGGCAGCAGUGGGGGAUAUUGCACAAUGGGCGAAAGCCUGAUGCAGCAACGCCGCGUGAGCGAAGAAGGCUUUCGAGUCGUAAAGCUCUGUCGUAUGGGAAGAAAAAAAUGACAGUACCAUACAAGAAGCCCC